GACAGAGGUGCCAAGCGUUUAGGCGGAAUCACUGGGCUUAAAGCGUGUGUAGGCGGAUGCCUAAGUACCUUGUGAAAUCCCACGGCUCAACCGUGGAACUGCUGGGUAUACUGGGUGUCUUGGGUCAUCUAGGGGCUGCCGGAACAAAUGGUGGAGCGGUGAAAUGCGUAGAUAUCAUUUGGGAACGCCAACGGCGAAAGCAGGCAGCUGGGGGAUGCACCGACGCUGAGACACGAAAGCCAGGGGAGCGAACGGG
RNAcentral lists this ribosomal RNA (256 nucleotides) under uncultured bacterium. RNAcentral's name for it is "partial 16S ribosomal RNA". It matches the Rfam family "Bacterial small subunit ribosomal RNA", at positions 524 to 776 of the family's 1533-position model. The record is from RNAcentral.